Molecule: long non-coding RNA, 219 nt
Filed under: Oryza sativa aromatic subgroup
Lineage: Eukaryota; Viridiplantae; Streptophyta; Magnoliopsida; Poales; Poaceae
Description: lncRNA OsARC_08g0011950
Source: RNAcentral
UCUUUCCCACCUCAAAAGCAAGCCAAUAAGGUCCUUUGCCCUUCUACAACUAAUGUGAGACUAUUCAACAAUCUCCCCCCUUCACAAGUUGGUGUCCCUCAGCCCUCCAUCGCCCCUUCACCGUUUCCCCACGGUCCCUUAGGUAUACGGGCCCUGCAGGCACCACGAUUCAUCAGGCCUUCACACACUAUGUCUCUCGAGCUAGAGAUAUUGAACUAG